Molecule: non-coding RNA, 219 nt
Organism: Podarcis lilfordi (Lilford's wall lizard)
Lineage: Eukaryota; Metazoa; Chordata; Lepidosauria; Squamata; Lacertidae
Source: the annotation of a GenBank genome assembly
AACUAAGUUUGUUAUUGGUAUGAACUUUCGUGUGCAGGCACACUACUUCAGAUACGAAAGCUCAUACCAAUAUCAAACUUAGUUGGUCUCUAAGGUGCUACUGGAAGGAUUUUAAAAAUUUUGUUUUGACUAUGGCAGACCAACACAGUUACCUACCUGUAACUAGAACUAGGUAUCUGAAGAAGUGUGCCUGCACACGAAAGCUCAUACCAAUAACAA